This 76-nucleotide transfer RNA is filed under the name Alphaproteobacteria bacterium. Its description in RNAcentral is "tRNA-Val". It matches the Rfam family "tRNA". From Rfam's summary of the family: Transfer RNA (tRNA) molecules are approximately 80 nucleotides in length. Their secondary structure includes four short double-helical elements and three loops (D, anti-codon, and T loops). Lineage: Bacteria; Pseudomonadati; Pseudomonadota; Alphaproteobacteria. The record is from RNAcentral.
GGGCGGUUAGCUCAGUUGGGAGAGCACCUCGUUUACACCGAGGGGGUCGGGAGUUCGAGCCUCUCACCGCCCACCA